GACGAACGCUGGCGGCGUGCUUAACACAUGCAAGUCGAACGAAGAGCGACGGAAGCUUGCUUCUAUCAAUCUUAGUGGCGAACGGGUGAGUAACGCGUAAUCAACCUGCCCUUCAGAGGGGGACAACAGUUGGAAACGACUGCUAAUACCGCAUACGAUCUAAUCUCGGCAUCGAGGAUGGAUGAAAGGUGGCCUCUACAUGUAAGCUAUCACUGAAGGAGGGGAUUGCGUCUGAUUAGCUAGUUGGAGGGGUAACGGCCCACCAAGGCGAUGAUCAGUAGCCGGUCUGAGAGGAUGAACGGCCACAUUGGGACUGAGACACGGCCCAGACUCCUACGGGAGGCAGCAGUGGGGAAUCUUCCGCAAUGGACGAAAGUCUGACGGAGCAACGCCGCGUGAGUGAUGACGGCCUUCGGGUUGUAAAGCUCUGUUAAUCGGGACGAAAGGCCUUUC
Molecule: ribosomal RNA, 453 nt
Filed under: Veillonella parvula
Lineage: Bacteria; Bacillati; Bacillota; Negativicutes; Veillonellales; Veillonellaceae
Description: bacterial SSU rRNA
Rfam family: Bacterial small subunit ribosomal RNA
Source: RNAcentral